AACGAACGCUGGCGGCAGGCUUAACACAUGCAAGUCGAACGAGCUGGGGGCUUCGGUCCCCGAUGCUAGUGGCGCACGGGUGAGUAAAACGUGGGAAUAUGCCCUUUAGUACGGAAUAAUAACGGGAAACAUUUGCUAAUACCGUAUACGCGCUGCGGCGGCUAGAUUUAUCGCUAUAGAAUUAGCCCGCGUCUGAUUAUGUAGUUGGUGAGGUAAUGGCUCACCAAGCCGACGAUCAGUAGCUGGGCUGUGAGGAGGAUCAGCCACGCCGGGACUGAGACACAGACCCGACUGCGACGGGAGGGAGGAGUAGAGAAUAUUGGACGCGGAGGGCAACCCUGACCCAGCCAUGCCGCGGAAGUGAAGAAGGCCUUCGUGUUGUAAAGCUCCUUCGACGGAGACGUGGAUGACGGUACCCGUAUAAGAAGCCCCGGCAAACUUCGUG
RNAcentral lists this ribosomal RNA (445 nucleotides) under uncultured bacterium. Its description in RNAcentral is "partial 16S ribosomal RNA". It matches the Rfam family "Bacterial small subunit ribosomal RNA", at positions 29 to 507 of the family's 1533-position model. The record is from RNAcentral.